This 460-nucleotide ribosomal RNA is filed under the name uncultured bacterium. RNAcentral's name for it is "partial 16S ribosomal RNA". It matches the Rfam family "Bacterial small subunit ribosomal RNA", at positions 338 to 795 of the family's 1533-position model. The record is from RNAcentral.
CCUACGGGUGGCAGCAGUGAGGAAUAUUGGUCAAUGGACGAAAGUCUGAACCAGCCAAGCCGCGUGAAGGAAGACGGCUCUAUGAGUUGUAAACUGCUUUUGUAUGGGGGUAAACGCAGAUACGUGUAUGAGUUUGAAAGUAUCGUACGAAUAAGGAUCGGCUAACUCCGUGCCAGCAGCCGCGGUAAUACGGAGGAUUCGAGCGUUAUCCGGAUUUAUUGGGUUUAAAGGGUGCGUAGGCGGACGGUUAAGUUAGAGGUGAAAUCCCGAGGCUCAACUGCGAAAUUGCAUUUGAAACUGGUCGGCUAGAGUGUAGUAGCGGUAGGCGGAAUGUGUGGUGUAGCGGUGAAAUGCUUAGAGAUCAUGCAGAACUCCGAUUGCGAAGGCAGCUUACCGGGCUGCUACUGACGUUGAGGCACGAAAGCGUGGGGAGCAAACAGGAUUAGAUACCCCUGUAGUC